UGUUUUUGAUAUCCGUGGUAAUGCUUUGCGGAACAGUGGAAGGCGGAAUACUUUCAAGGAGCCCAUGGGUAGGUGGUGGAUCCCAACCACCAUGUGAUAGCAAUGACGACUGCCAUUGUGUUCCCUACCCUGGCACCACAUGCACUGGCAUUUGUAUCAAACCAGAAGGCCGAACCCCGUAUUGCUGGAGAUACUCGCACACUAUUCAAGGUUAAAUGGUUCAAUUUCGGCCCCCAUAGCAACGGACUACGAGUAAUAUUUUAAUAACGAUACAAUAUUGUUACGUAACACAAACCCUGGUUAAUGAACUCUCAGAAUCAAUGUCACAGAUGUUGAACAAAAUUCAAAUAGUGACACACUUGGUCAAGUCAAAGAUUUCAUCUAUAUAAAAAUGGGUACAUUUGGAUCAUGUUCUUUACCGCCGCUGCACUUCUAGAGGAUAGAUGUAUAUUCAGAGUUCAUUCGCAAUCACACUAAGAAAACAGUUGAAUAAAUCUACCGUUAUGAACGACAGCAGUGCUACUGCAAGAUAUA
Molecule: long non-coding RNA, 534 nt
Organism: Lingula anatina
Lineage: Eukaryota; Metazoa; Brachiopoda; Lingulata; Lingulida; Lingulidae
Source: RefSeq, a predicted model, not a curated record